GAUGAACGCUGGCGGCGUGCCUAAUACAUGCAAGUCGAGCGAACAGACGAGGAGCUUGCUCCUCUGACGUUAGCGGCGGACGGGUGAGUAACACGUGGAUAACCUACCUAUAAGACUGGGAUAACUUCGGGAAACCGGAUCUAAUACCGGAUAAUAUAUUGAACCGCAUGGUUCAAUAGUGAAAGACGGUUUUGCUGUCACUUAUAGAUGAAUCAGCGCCGCAUUAGCUAGUUGGUAAGGUAACGGCUUACCAAGGCAACGAUGCGUAGCCGACCUGAGAGGGUGAUCGGCCACACUGGAACUGAGACACGGGCCAGACACCUACGGGAGGCAGCAGUAGGGAAUCCUCCGCAAUGGGCGAAAGCCUGACGGAGCAACGCCGCGUGAGUGAUGAAGGUCUUCGGAUCGUAAAACUCUGUUAUUAGGGAAGAACAAAUGUGUAAGUAACUAUGCACGUCUUGACGGUACCUAAUCAGAAAGCCACGGCUAACUACGUG
RNAcentral lists this ribosomal RNA (497 nucleotides) under uncultured bacterium. RNAcentral's name for it is "partial 16S ribosomal RNA". It matches the Rfam family "Bacterial small subunit ribosomal RNA", at positions 28 to 507 of the family's 1533-position model. The record is from RNAcentral.